Molecule: ribosomal RNA, 497 nt
Filed under: uncultured bacterium
Lineage: Bacteria
Description: partial 16S ribosomal RNA
Rfam family: Bacterial small subunit ribosomal RNA
Source: RNAcentral
GGUGAACGCUGGCGGCGGGCCUAACACAUGCAAGUCGAGCGGAAGGACGAGAAGCGUUCGUCUCUACGGUUGGCGAGGGGCGGGUGGGUGACACGUGCAUCACCUUCUUCUAAUACGUGGGGAAUAUCGGGGAACCACUUACAAUACCAGCGAAUAUGUUCAACCGCAUGGUGCAAAAGAUAAAAAGAGCCUUCGCGUCACUUUUAGAUGUAUCCGCGUUGGAUUAGCUAGUUGGUAAGGUAACGGCUUACCAAGGCAACGAUGCAUAGCCGACCUGAGAGGGUGAUCGGCCACACUGGAACUGAGACACGGUCCAGACUCCUACGGGAGGCAGCAGUAGGGAAUCUUCCGCAAUGGGCGAAAGCCUGACGGAGCAACGCCGCGUGAGUGAUGAAGGUCUUCGGAUCGUAAAACUCUGUUAUUAGGGAAGAACAUAUGUGUAAGUAACUGUGCACAUCUUGACGGUACCUAAUCAGAAAGCCACGGCUAACUACGUG